GUGCCAGCAGCCGCGGUAAUACGUAGGGUGCGAGCGUUGUCCGGAAUUACUGGGCGUAAAGAGCUCGUAGGUGGUUUGUCGCGUUGUUCGUGAAAACUCACAGCUUAACUGUGGGCGUGCGGGCGAUACGGGCAGACUAGAGUACUGCAGGGGAGACUGGAAUUCCUGGUGUAGCGGUGGAAUGCGCAGAUAUCAGGAGGAACACCGGUGGCGAAGGCGGGUCUCUGGGCAGUAACUGACGCUGAGGAGCGAAAGCGUGGGGAGCGAACAGGAUUAGAUACCCUGGUAGUCCACGCCGUAAACGGUGGGUACUAGGUGUGGGUUCCUUCCUUGGGAUCCGUGCCGUAGCUAACGCAUUAAGUACCCCGCCUGGGGAGUACGGCCGCAAGGCUAAAACUCAAAGGAAUUGACGGGGGCCCGCACAAGCGGCGGAGCAUGUGGAUUAAUUCGAUGCAACGCGAAGAACCUUACCUGGGUUUGAC
Molecule: ribosomal RNA, 482 nt
Filed under: uncultured organism
Description: SSU rRNA
Rfam family: Bacterial small subunit ribosomal RNA
Source: RNAcentral